RNAcentral lists this transfer RNA (26 nucleotides) under Calotes versicolor. Its description in RNAcentral is "partial tRNA-Leu". Lineage: Eukaryota; Metazoa; Chordata; Lepidosauria; Squamata; Agamidae. The record is from RNAcentral.
CCUUUUAAGGGGUUACAGGAACCCAU